Monodelphis domestica (gray short-tailed opossum) is the source of this 65-nucleotide microRNA precursor. It matches the Rfam family "mir-8/mir-141/mir-200 microRNA precursor family". Rfam says of the family: The bounds of the precursors are predicted based on conservation and base pairing and are not generally known. The record is from Rfam. NCBI's taxonomy places the organism in Eukaryota, Metazoa, Chordata, Mammalia, Didelphimorphia, Didelphidae.
GGGGCCAUCUUCCAGUACAGUGGUGGAUGGUGAAGCUUCUAACACUGUCUGGUAAAGAUGCCCUC